RNAcentral lists this non-coding RNA (28 nucleotides) under Rattus norvegicus (Norway rat). The record is from RNAcentral. Lineage: Eukaryota; Metazoa; Chordata; Mammalia; Rodentia; Muridae.
UGUAGGCUCUCAAAUGAGAAAAGACAGA